GUCCUUCUCUGUUUUCUUUUUAUCAUAAACCCCCUCCUUCAUCACCUUGCCUACCCGCUAAACCUAUUCGACCCGUCAACGAACAGAUCCACCCUCACCAGCCGCCUGACGUUCGAGCCGCACCAGCCCUAAACCCUUCCACCUCCAGCCGCCAUAACUGUAAUCCCUUUCACCAUCAGCUGCCCCUCCGUUCGAGCCGUCGACGCCCUAAUCCUAUCACCUUCUGGCCGCCCAAAUCCCUUUCGGCUCCUGCCGCCCUCUUUUUGAGGCGCAUGCCAUGGAGUCGUUGGUCUUCGAGUGCCAGGCCAUGGCGGCACAGACCAUGGAGUCACAGGCUAUGAUGGCGCAGGUCUUAGUCUUUAGGCCAUGGAGUCGCAAUCAGGCGUUCAAGAUGCUCUGAGACUUGAGUCAGGUUCGUCCAACAUGCAUGAUGGAUUCAGUACACCAAAAAAAUGAAUAUCCUUCUGACAUCGGUGAGCUGCUCUUUGCUUUGGUUUGUUCUGCUGCCAUAUUGAUAAAUUCAUGUAGUGCCUCGUUGCAGCUGUCCAUCUGUGUACUUGAUUGUGAUGAUAAAUUGAAGCCAGUAAUUGGAACGUCAUUUGGUUCUCUAGAGGAAGUGGAAGAAUUGUACAAGAUAUAUGCUCUUGAGAAUUUUAUUGGCUGCAACAUUCCAGAACAUAUCGAAAUCCAUCCACCAUCCGAUGUUCACUCCCAGUAAAAACAUCAAGAAAUCCAAAGAACUAUUUAAAUCGUGUAAAGGGAAAAAUAGUAAAGUGAGACGAAGGUAGUCAAACAGUCAUAUUGCUAAAGUAUUACAGGUAGGAGAAAGAAUCCAACAGCAUGUUGAGGAGCUUCUACAGUGUUAUUGGCAUGGGAAUUUUGUUAGCUUCUAUAGUGCUAUUGGUAUGUCGAGUAGCUUCAACCAGGUAUGGACUUUUUAACUCUAGCGAGAGUUUUUAGUUGUCACACACUAAUGGCUGAAUUGGGGAAAGUAGUAACUGAAAAUGAGAGUAACCAGCAUCAACAAUAGUUUGCUUUCAAAAUUCAGAAGGAUAGUUCCUUGUUUUGUACAACAUUUUUUAAGUAUAAGAGUUUUAAAAUAGAACAUAGCAGCAUGAAAGGCUUAUUUUUUCCAGAACAUAGUUUAAUAGACUUAAUAAGUUUAAACGACCCAUAAUUCUGGUGCUUUAUUCUAUCUUUUAUCUGUUGGGUCAUUAAAAUCUAUAGACUUUAGCGUCCUAUCUUGUCAUGUAUUAGUGACGUAUGGAAUCAUUUGGAGUCAAUGGGAAGAUUAAUAGCCAAAAAUGUUAGAAGAUCAUGCUUGUUUAGACCUCUAUGUUGUACGGACCAGCAGGUUUGAAAUGAUGUUGUCACUGUUCCUUGUUCUCAACUGUUGUAUUAAGCAAGUACUACCAUGGGGAUGUGGGGUGGGACUAGUCCAAAUGUUGUAGUUACUAGUUACUAGAGUUAGCAAGCAGAGGAAUUGGUAAUGGUGAUGCGUUCUCAACUUCUUAUGUGUGCUUGUCGUUCGAUCGUCCAUCAGUUUUUAGAUGUACAAAACAUAUCACCGCAUUGACGUCCAUGGCUGCGAGUACAGUACAGUGGUCGGCCGGUUCCAAGUUUACAAACAGCAAGCAGUACUAGUGAGUAGGUGACAUUAGCAGUACAAACCCUUAAACCUGCAACUAAGCACGACAGAGAGUAGGGGCGGAGCUCAGGCCCGUUCAUCUCGGUUAGGUGGAAGAAAUGGUCGGCAUAUGUGUUUCUUUCAUGCUUUACUGCAUCCUGCAUUUUUAUUUUGUUGCACUGGCACGACCGCCUGGCACUGGCACCCCCUCGUACUGAUCUGAUGUUGUAAUAGCAAUUAGCAUGCGUUCAGAUUAGUUAAGAUAUGGAGCUGAGCUCGCUGCCAACAAGGUCAAUACUAGCAUCCAUUUUUUUGCAAACUAGGACACAAUCAGGUGAAAAGCUUGAGCUGCAUUCUUUGUCUAUUUAACUUUACUAGUUCUGUUUGUUUCAUGGUAUGCUGUUAUUUACAAGUAAGCCCAGGAGAUUCUUUUAUUGAUGUUAAACAAUUACUUUUGGAUGCUCCUGAAACAUGCUUCUAUGCAUGAUACAAUUUGAUAUUGCAUACUAAAGAUGGGUUAGCUCAUCAGUUAGAAGACUACAAGGAAAUAUCUGAAAUAGCAGAUAUAACUUCUAGUGGAUGUUCACUGGAGAUGGUUGCUAGUAUGUAACAACUUCUAGUUUCUUCUCUAUUGUCAUAUAUACUUAUAUAGUGCUUAUUUUCUGGAGCUAAAGUAAAAGUUCUUUCAGCAACAUACAAUGAGAGGUCUAUUAGGUCACAUCUCCGACGUGUGAAGGGGCUACUAUCUCUGUCUAGUCUUUAUGUUUCCCUAUCAACGUCCUUAGCUCUGCUUCAGGAGUCCGCUCAAGGAAAAUUUGCAGGACUUAUAUAUGUGUUCUCUGUUCACUGAUGCGGCUGGAGCGUCAUGUCAACUGCUCACCCUCCCCCUAACAAAUUAAACUAGACUGAUGAGUGGAGCUUCAUGUUGGGAUGAUCCAUGCACCUUUUAAGUUUUGGAACGUCGUACUCAAAUGUAGCUUGUGUUAGUUGAACCUAUCGUACUUUCUUUUGGAAUUAAAUUAUAUGAUAUUUAAACAUGUUUGAUGUUUAAUACUUGUGUUGGAUGCUUUAUGCUUCAAAUAUAUAUGCAUUAUACAAAAAGUUGUGUA
Molecule: long non-coding RNA, 2736 nt
Organism: Zea mays
Lineage: Eukaryota; Viridiplantae; Streptophyta; Magnoliopsida; Poales; Poaceae
Exons: 2
Source: RefSeq, a predicted model, not a curated record